This 363-nucleotide unclassified non-coding RNA is filed under the name uncultured fungus. RNAcentral's name for it is "sequence contains ITS1". The stretch from base 1 to 107 matches the Rfam family "5.8S ribosomal RNA", at positions 50 to 154 of the family's 154-position model. Lineage: Eukaryota; Fungi. The record is from RNAcentral.
GAAAUGCGAUACUUGGUGUGAAUUGCAGAAUCCCGUGAACCAUCGAGUCUUUGAACGCAAGUUGCGCCCGAAGCCGUCAGGCCGAGGGCACGUCUGCCUGGGCGUCACGCAUCGCGUCGCCCCCCCUCCCCUCGCACCGCGCGGGAGAGGCGGGGCGGAUAUUGGCCCCCCGUGCGCCACGGCGUGCGGCCGGCCCAAAUGUGAUCCCCCGGCGACUCGUGUCGCGAUGAGUGGUGGUUGAUUUUCUCAAUCUCGCAGCGUCGCGCCCCCGUGUCGUCCGGACGGGCAUCAAUGAACGACCCAAGGGUGCCAUGCACCAUCGACCGCGACCCCAGGUCAGGCGGGAUCACCCGCUGAGUUUAA